UGAUGAAGGUGAUUCCCCCCAUGACAAGUUACCCUAUUAAUCCCUAGAGUGGAUUAGAUCAAUUUGGCUGGCUGCACAUGUGUCCUUCCUCUCUCACCAAUCCUUGUGUGACUCUUCUUCUUCUUCUGAAACUGUGCACGAGGACGACCAUCCAUGAACAAAGAGGAAGACCCGUCUUUGGUACUGGGUAUGUGAAUAUCUGGGCUACAACUUCUAUAACUUCCAAAUAAGCUCAUAAAGUAACUUUUGAAACAAAGUUACUUUUCCAUAGCCAUGAGCUCAACCUCCACAAAACCACUUUAAAACUUGUAAUUAUUUAAGAGAAUUU
This 328-nucleotide small nuclear RNA is filed under the name Microtus ochrogaster (prairie vole). RNAcentral's name for it is "7SK RNA (ENSMOCG00000005394.1)". It matches the Rfam family "7SK RNA". Rfam says of the family: 7SK was discovered as an abundant small nuclear RNA in the mid-70s but a possible function has only recently been suggested. Two independent studies have found that 7SK RNA binds the CDK9/cyclin T complex (known as elongation factor P-TEFb). The record is from RNAcentral. Lineage: Eukaryota; Metazoa; Chordata; Mammalia; Rodentia; Cricetidae.